RNAcentral lists this ribosomal RNA (352 nucleotides) under uncultured bacterium. RNAcentral describes it as "bacterial SSU rRNA". It matches the Rfam family "Bacterial small subunit ribosomal RNA", at positions 917 to 1267 of the family's 1533-position model. The record is from RNAcentral.
GGGCCCGCACAAGCGGUGGAGCAUGUGGCUUAAUUCGAUGCAACGCGAGGAACCUUACCUGGGCUAAAUCCACAGUGAUGUCUUCUGGAAACAGGAGGUCCCUUAGGGGCACUAUGGAAGGUGCUGCAUGGCUGUCGUCAGCUCGUGCCGUGAGGUGUUGGUUAAGUCCCGCAACGAGCGCAACCCCUGUGGUUAGUUACCAGCACGUAAAGGUGGGGACUCUAGCCAGACUGCCUACGCAAGUAGUGAGGAAGGUGGGGACGACGUCAAGUCAUCAUGGCCCUUACGUGCCAGGGCUGCAGCACGUGCUACAAUGGUCGGUACAAUGGGUCGCCACCCCAGCGAUGGGGCG